UCAAGCUAAUAAGAGCACAAGGGGAAUGCCUUGGCAUUGGGAGCCGAAGAAGGACGUGAUAAGCUGCGAUAAGCCACGGGGAGGCGCAAAUAGCCGUAAUAUCCGUGGAUUUCCGAAUGGGGAAACCUCGUACAGCGCAAACUGUAUGGCCGUUAAGUGAAUCCAUAGCUUAACGGAGGGAACCCGCCGAACUGAAACAUCUAAGUAGGCGGAGGAAGAGAAAUCAACCGAGAUUUCGUGAGUAGCGGCGAGCGAAAGCGAAAGAGGCCAAACCGGGUGUAGAAAUACAGCCGGGGUAUGGACCGUCACAAGCAGUCGAAAGUGUAGCAGAAUGAGUUGGAAAGCUCAACCGAAGAGAGUGAAAGUCUCGUAGGCGAAACACAGACGACGCGGACGGUAUCCGGAGUACCUGCGGACACGUGAAAUCCGCAGGGAAUAUGGGGGGCCCACCCUCCAAGCCUAAAUACUACCCAAUGACCGAUAGAGAAGCAGUACUGUGAAGGGAAGGUGAAAAGAACCCCGGGAGGGGAGUGAAAUAGAACCUGAAACCUUGUGUUUACAAGCACACAAAGAGCGUCAAGGCUCGAUGUGGUACCUUUUGUAGAAUGGUCCGGCGAGUUUAUGUAUGUAGCGAGGUUAAGUUAUUCAGUAACGGAGCCGCAGGGAAACCGAGUGUGAAGAGCGCGAUGAGUUACAUGCAUAAGACCCGAAACCGGGUGACCUAUCCAUGUCCAGGAUGAAGUUGGGGUAAAACCCAAUGGAGGACCGAACCGACCCCCGUUGAAAAGGUGGCGGAUGAGGUGUGGAUAGCGGAGAAAUUCCAAUCGAACCCGGAGAUAGCUGGUUCUCCCCGAAAUAGCUUUAGGGCUAGCCUCGGUGUAAAGAUAUUCGCAGGUAAAGCACUGACCGGAUGAGGGGGCGAAAGCCUACCGAUUCCUAUCAAACUCAGAAUGGCGAAAUAUUAUAACCGGGAGUCAGACAGUGUGAGAUAAGUCUCAUUGUCAAAAGGGAAACAGCCCAGAUCUACCGCUAAGGUCCCAAAUAUAUGCUAAGUGGAAAAGGAUGUGGCGAUGCGCAGACAACCAGGAUGUUGGCUUAGAAGCAGCCACUCAUUAAAAGAGUGCGUAACAGCUCACUGGUCGAGUGCCGCUGCGCCGAAGAUUUAACGGGGCUAAGCAUAUAACCGAAGCGUAGGCAGUAUAUAUACUGGGUAGGGGAGCGUUGUGUACGGAUUGAAGCGUCAGCGAAAGCGGGCGUGGACUGUACAGAAGUGAGAAUGCCGGAAUAAGUAGCGAGAAUUGCGUGAGAAUCGUAAUGGCCGAAAAUCUAAGGUUUCCGGGGGUAGGUUCGUCCGCCCCGGGUUAGCCGGGAGCUAAGGCGAGGCCUGAAGGCGUAGCCGAUGCACAUACGGUGGAAAUUCCGUAGCCGUCAAAAGAUUUAAGUAAACUGACACCGAGAGGUAGCUCUACCGGGCGAUGGUUGUCCCGGGUUCGAGAGAUAGACUGAAAUACAAGUAGGGAAUUGAGUCAACGAUCGGGCGAGAAAAGGUUUAUGGAUAUCUUCGACGUCCGUACCGCAAACCGACACAGGUAGAUGGGAAGAGGAUUCCAAGGCCAACGGGAGAAGGGUUGUUAAGGAACUCGGCAAAAUGACCCCGUAACUUAGGGAUAAGGGGAGCCUGCGAAAGCAGGCCGCAGAAAAUAGGCCCAGGCGACUGUUUAGCAAAAACACAGGUCUCUGCAAAACCGAAAGGUGAAGUAUAGGGGCUGACGCCUGCCCGGUGCCGGAAGGUCAAGGGGAAGUGUUAGAGCAAUCGAAGCACUGAACUUAAGCCCCGGUCAACGGCGGCCGUAACUAUAACGGUCCUAAGGUAGCGAAAUUCCUUGCCAGGUAAGUUCUGGCCCGCACGAAUGGCGUAACGAUCUGGGCACUGUCUCAACAGCCCGCCCGGCGAAAUUGUAGUACCGGUGAAGAUGCCGGUUACCCGCGACUAGACGGAGAGACCCCAUGGAGCUUUACUGUAGUUUGAUACUGAGCCUCGGUAUAUUAUGUACAGGAUAGGUGGGAGACAGUGAAACAUGUGCGUCAGCAUGUGCGGAGUCGCCGUUGGGAUACCACUCUUGAUGUACUGAGGUUCUAACCUACACUGCUGAAGCGCGGUGGGGGACAAUGUCAGAUGGGCAGUUUGACUGGGGCGGUCGCCU
RNAcentral lists this ribosomal RNA (2204 nucleotides) under human gut metagenome. RNAcentral describes it as "bacterial LSU rRNA". It matches the Rfam family "Bacterial large subunit ribosomal RNA", at positions 3 to 2288 of the family's 2925-position model. The record is from RNAcentral.